Molecule: long non-coding RNA, 2461 nt
Organism: Hypanus sabinus (Atlantic stingray)
Lineage: Eukaryota; Metazoa; Chordata; Chondrichthyes; Myliobatiformes; Dasyatidae
Exons: 4
Source: RefSeq, a predicted model, not a curated record
CGCCUCCACGGCAAGAGCGCCUCCUGAUGGUAGGCUCGCGUUCCAGCAUCAGGGAAAUGUUACGAAUUAGAUUUACGAGCAGAAAGAGUGAGGCGGAGUGUAAACCCCAUUUCAACAUAUGGAGGUUUUAAAUCACCAGAAAAUAAGGCCGAGACAUCUGCGAUCAGCGUACACAGGGAAAACAAAGCAUUGGGGUGCGACGAUAUGUACAUACGGGACAGAGAAUGGAGAAUUAGAGAGAGCAGGAGAAUGCCGAAGGGUGUGCAUGUGAGAGAGGAAGAAGGAAUGAAAGCAGAAGAACAAGCAAUGGGUGUUGACCAGGUACAAACGGUGGUGGAUGUGACCCAGUCCAUCACAGGCAAAGCCCUUCCCACCACUGAGCACUACCAGGAAGAGUACCACAAGAAAGCAGCCUCCAUCAUCAAGGACUGCACACACCCCACUGCCCCCCCCCCCCCCCCCCAGCAUUCAGGCCAUGCUCUCUUCUUGCUGUCACCAUCAGAAAGGAGGUGCAAGAGCUUUAGGUCCCACACCACCAGGUCCAGGGACAGUUAUUACCCUUCAACCAUCAGUCUCCUGAACCAGGAUGGAUAACUUCACUCACCCCACCACUGAACUGGUUCCACAACCGAUAGAUUCACGUUCAAGGACUCUACAAGUCACUUUCUCGUAACAAUAGCUGAUUAUUAAGGUUACUCUGACAGUUCAAGCCCAGUCCGAGGUGGUUCUACGUUGGAGUGAUGUUGCUGCGCAGACCAGCUGCCAUUGUUUACUGCCGAUUAAAUUUGUCCAAAUUCAAUGUAAGUGAAAGCAAUGAGACUUUGGCACAAAGUGAAUAGGAAUGUAGGCAAAGUACCUACUCCAGGUGGGUUACCUUACUUCAGGGUUUUGCAUAAUUUUAGUUUCCCAGCAUAGUUCAGCAGUUGGUUUGACCCCUUUGGAGCAUACGUUAAGCAGUCAAGUUGUGCAAUUCUCUUGUAAGGCAUACCCUUCACCUUAGAAAUGUGAUCAUGUUUAGGACCUAUUUUAGGCCUGAAGCAGGUGCUCAGGGAGCCAUAUGGUAAACGGCAAAGUCACCUACCCAGUCGAAAUAAGCCCCAUUCUGAAAUUUUGAUUGUCCUUUUUCAUGGGCAUCCCACAGUUGUAAAAGCCAGGCAAUGCUUUACAGCAUUUAAAUAAAAGUCCCUAAGUGGUUUUAGAAUCCUUGUGUGAAAUUGGACAACACCAUUAAAUAAGUCAGCCCAUGAUAAAUCAAAACCCAUCCUAAUGAAGGGUCUCAGCCUGGAAUGUCAGCUUCUUAUUCCUCGCCAUUGAUGCUGCCUGACCUGCUGAGUUCCUCCGACAUUCUGUGUGUGUUACUCUAGAUUUCCAGCAUCUGCAGAAUCUCGAGUGUACGUGAUAGAUUUGCCUGUUUCCCUAGGACAUUAUAAUGAACAAGGCCCAUGCAAGCGUGCAGGUUGACUCGCUCAGCCCAGCCGCACUGCUGGAUCGUCUUGAUGGCCGGAAGGUGUCAAACAGCUGGAGGUGGCAGGUAUAUCCAGGUGAGAGGAGUGGUAGGCAGAUGAGGUUGGGAAUAAAGUCAGAAGCUGGGAGGUGAUAGGUGGAAGUGACCAAAGAUGGUGGAAUCCGACAGGAGAGGAUGGUGGAGCAUGGCAAAAAAGAGAGGGAUGCGGGGAGGGUUUGCUGGGAGGUGCAGGUGAUGGGCAGCUGGAGAGGGCGGGAGAGAGGUAAGAGAUGAGCUGAUGGAGCAGUGGGAUCAGGAGGAGAGAGGGUGAGAAAAAAGAAAAUUGGAGAAAAGGAGCAGAGGAUGAGCGGUUAUCAGAAGUUUGAGAAUUGAGUGUUCGUGCCACUAGUUUGGAGAACUGCUGAGACGGAACAUGUGGGAAGUUAGUUCUGCCAUUUGUGGAAGCAAAUAUGUGUACAUACUCUCAGUGGGUACUUUAUUAGGUAGAGGAUUGGAACCCGAUGUGGUCUUCUGCUGCUGUAGCCCAUCCGCUUCACACUUUGGCACGUUGUGCAUUUAGAAAUGCUUUUCGGCAAACUACUCUUGUUACACUUGGUUAUUUGAAUUACUGUCCUUUUCCUGUCAGCUUGAACCAGUCUGGCCAUUCCAUUCUGAUCUCUCUCAUUAACAAGGCUUUUUCACCCACAGAACUGCUGCGCGCUGGAUUAUUUUUUUGUUUAUGACACCAUUCUCUGUAAACUUUGUUGUGCAUGAGAAUCCCAAGAGAUCAGCAAUUUCAAAAAUACUCGGACCACCACGUCUGGCACCAACAAUCAUUCCAGAGUCAAACUCACUUCGAGCAUAUUUCUUCCCCAUUCUGAUGUUUGGCCUGAACAACAACUGAAACGCAUGAUAAUGUCUACAAGCGUUUAUGCAUUGUGUUGCUGUGACAUGAUUGGCUGAUUAGUUAUUUGCAUUAAUGAGCAGGUGUAGAGCUGUACCAAAUAAAGUGUAAUU